UGCUUAGGAAUCUGCCUAGUAGUGGGGGAUAACUUGGGGAAACUCAAGCUAAUACCGCAUACGACCUACGGGUGAAAGGGGGCGCAAGCUCUCGCUAUUAGAUGAGCCUAAGUCGGAUUAGCUAGUUGGUGGGGUAAAGGCCUACCAAGGCGACGAUCUGUAGCUGGUCUGAGAGGAUGAUCAGCCACACUGGGACUGAGACACGGCCCAGACUCCUACGGGAGGCAGCAGUGGGGAAUAUUGGACAAUGGGCGAAAGCCUGAUCCAGCCAUGCCGCGUGUGUGAAGAAGGCCUUUUGGUUGUAAAGCACUUUAAGUAGGGAGGAAAAGCUAAUGGUUAAUACCCAUUAGCCCUGACGUUACCUACAGAAUAAGCACCGGCUAACUCUGUGCCAGCAGCCGCGGUAAUACAGAGGGUGCAAGCGUUAAUCGGAAUUACUGGGCGUAAAGCGCGCGUAGGUGGUUACUUAAGUCAGAUGUGAAAGCCCCGGGCUUAACCUGGGAACUGCAUCUGAUACUGGGUAACUAGAGUAGGUGAGAGGGGGGUAGAAUUCCAGGUGUAGCGGUGAAAUGCGUAGAGAUCUGGAGGAAUACCGAUGGCGAAGGCAGCUCCCUGGCAUCAUACUGACACUGAGGUGCGAAAGCGUGGGUAGCAAACAGGAUUAGAUACCCUGGUAGUCCACGCCGU
Molecule: ribosomal RNA, 687 nt
Filed under: uncultured bacterium
Lineage: Bacteria
Description: bacterial SSU rRNA
Rfam family: Bacterial small subunit ribosomal RNA
Source: RNAcentral